UCCCUGGUGCACAUGGGUAGUGUGUGGUGCACUUAUCACCACGGUCUGGGUUCGAUUCCUGGUCAGGGAA
This 70-nucleotide transfer RNA is filed under the name Pangasianodon hypophthalmus (striped catfish). Its description in RNAcentral is "tRNA-Lys". Lineage: Eukaryota; Metazoa; Chordata; Actinopteri; Siluriformes; Pangasiidae. The record is from RNAcentral.